GACGAACGCUGGCGGCGUGCUUAACACAUGCAAGUCGAACGGAAAGGCCCUGCUUUUGUGGGGUGCUCGAGUGGCGAACGGGUGAGUAACACGUGAGUAACCUGCCCUUGACUUUGGUAUAACUUCAGGAAACUGGGGCUAAUACCUGAUAGGAGCUCCUGCUUCAUGGUGGGGGUUGGAAAGUUUCGGCGGUUGGGGAUGGACUCGCGGCUUAUCAGCUUGUUGGUGGGGUAGUGGCUUACCAAGGCUUUGACGGGUAGCCGGCCUGAGAGGGUGACCGGCCACAUUGGGACUGAGAUACGGCCCAGACUCCUACGGGAGGAAGCAGUGGGGAAUAUUGCACAAUGGGCGGAAGCCUGAUGCAGCAAAGCCGCGUGAGGGAUGACGGCCUUCGGGUUGUAAACCGCUUUCGCCUGUGACGAAGCGUGAGUGACGGUAAUGGGUAAAGAAGCACCGGCUAACUACGUG
RNAcentral lists this ribosomal RNA (468 nucleotides) under uncultured bacterium. RNAcentral's name for it is "partial 16S ribosomal RNA". It matches the Rfam family "Bacterial small subunit ribosomal RNA", at positions 28 to 507 of the family's 1533-position model. The record is from RNAcentral.